CCAUGCCGGAGUGGGCACAGGCGUGUGGGUGGAUUUUUUGUGGACGUUGUGAUGUAUUCGCCCAUCUGCGCAUCUGCAUUCGCGUCCGGAGGGUGGAGCCCUUCAGAGGAGUUUUGUUCUGCUCUGGUGGACAGGCCCAGAGAUUCGUCGCUUGGCUUGCGGCUGGUAUCGUCAGUGCGGUCUUCCAAGCUCCAUACUAUGUGUAUGUCAUCAACAUAUCUUGCAUAUAAACGAAAGUCGGAAGUGAAAAGAUCUAGAGUUGUUGUCUCUUUAUAUCGCACAACGAGCUCCGCCAUAAGCCCUGCUAUGGGGCC
RNAcentral lists this long non-coding RNA (314 nucleotides) under Androctonus crassicauda. Lineage: Eukaryota; Metazoa; Arthropoda; Arachnida; Scorpiones; Buthidae. The record is from RNAcentral.